UGCCUCAGUAACGGCGAGCGAAGCGGCAAAAGCUCAAAUUUGAAAGCUAGCGUUUUUUAACGUUCGCGUUGUAAUUUGAAGAUGGCAACUUUGGGGACGGCCUUGGCAUAUGUUCCUUGGAACAGGACGUCAUAGAGGGUGAGAAUCCCGUACGUGGCCUUGUCACCGUCCCUUUGUAAAGUGCUUUCUAAGAGUCGAGUUGUUUGGGAAUGCAGCUCUAAGUGGGUGGUAAAUUCCAUCUAAGGCUAAAUAUAGGCGAGAGACCGAUAGCGAACAAGUACAGUGAUGGAAAGAUGAAAAGAACUUUGAAAAGAGAGUGAAAAAGUACGUGAAAUUGUUGAAAGGGAAGGGCUUGAGAUCAGACUUGGCUUGCGGUGAUCAACUGUCUCUUGGGACUGUGCACUCGCCACUUGCUAGGCCAGCAUCAGUUUUUGCGGUAGGAUAAUGGCAGCGGAAUGUGACUUUGCCUCGGUAAAGUGUUAUAACCGCCUGCUGAUGCUACCAGCGGAGACUGAGGACCGCGCCUUUUUGGGCUAGGAUGCUGGCGUAAUGAUCUUAAGCCACCCGUCUUGAAACACGGACCAAGGAGUCUAACGUCUAUGCGAGUGUUUGGGUGUAAAACUCUUGCGCGUAAUUAAAGUGAACGUAGAGGAGAUCCCCCUGGGAGCAUCCUCGACCGAUCCUGACGUAUUCAGAAGGAUUUGAGUAAGAGCAUAGCUGUUGGGACCCGAAAGAUGGUGAACUAUGCCUGAAUAGGGUGAAGCCAGAGGAAACUCUGGUGGAGGCUCGUAGCGAUUCUGACGUGCAAAUCGAUCGUCAAAUUUGGGUAUAGGGGCGAAAGAC
RNAcentral lists this ribosomal RNA (843 nucleotides) under Blastobotrys fungorum. RNAcentral describes it as "eukaryotic LSU rRNA". It matches the Rfam family "Eukaryotic large subunit ribosomal RNA", at positions 76 to 931 of the family's 3401-position model. Lineage: Eukaryota; Fungi; Ascomycota; Dipodascomycetes; Dipodascales; Trichomonascaceae. The record is from RNAcentral.